Molecule: long non-coding RNA, 143 nt
Organism: Hevea brasiliensis (rubber tree)
Lineage: Eukaryota; Viridiplantae; Streptophyta; Magnoliopsida; Malpighiales; Euphorbiaceae
Exons: 2
Source: RefSeq, a predicted model, not a curated record
AGGUGAGCCGGGACAGCCUUCUUCCUCCGCCCAGCCGCCACAGUGAUUGCCGUCAAGUCUGCCACAGGAGGAUAUUUUUUUGAGGUUAACCUGCUUUCUCCCUCGCAGGUCAAUUAUUACUGUUUGUAUAAACUUGUUAAAUC